Molecule: long non-coding RNA, 1205 nt
Filed under: Crocodylus porosus (Australian saltwater crocodile)
Lineage: Eukaryota; Metazoa; Chordata; Crocodylia; Crocodylidae
Description: lncRNA (ENSCPRG00005005142.1)
Source: RNAcentral
GGCAGGCAAGAUUGGGGAGGCUAGCAGAGCCACAGGGGCAUUGGCAGGUCUGGGAGUGGGUUGGCAAGAUUUGGGGGAGGGGGCGGACAAGUCUCCAGGGGGUGCUGUCAAUCUGUGCCUGGUGGAGUUGGGGGACCAAAAAUAGCCCUGUCAGGGUAGGAAGAGCUCAACCCCAGGGCUGGGGCAAGUAUCUGGGCUUUCAUUCACUAGCUUGGGCUAAUCUGUUCCCAAUCUGAGAUCACUUCCUUAGGUGAACUAAUUUAGAUGGAACACAGCAUUUUUUUUUGCCUGAUUUAACCUCCCCAAACUUCUGCACAGACCUUAAUUAGGUUGAUCUAAAUGUAACAUCUGCACCUACUCUAAAAGAAAAAAACUAUCAGGACUUAACAUGGCAACUUGACCCACUGUUCAAAAAUACAUAUCCCACUUCCAGUCUUAAUCCACAGUGGAUAUAGAUCUGCUACAUCUCUAGGUUGCAGCUAGCAAGCCCAGAUCCUAAUCCAAACUCAGGUAGUCAUUUCCAUGGAUUUUGGUGUGUGUAGAAUCAAGCCAUUGGCCCGUCUAGCUGGAGGUCCAGCAGUUCAUCCACAUAAUGACUAAGAUGACAGUUCUUACACCAGCCAAGAUUCUUUUAAUCGUCACUUUUUAGUAUUCUACGCUCCUGUGAACUAUUACGCAUAUAAACUCUGUGGCUUGUGGGUUUACGUUUUUAUUUUUUGUUCAAAGUUCUUACCAACCUGUUCUUACAAAUUCAGACUCUGAAGGUGAAAAUACAAAGAUCAGAAUCAUGUUUAAGAAAUCAUCUCCAAAAUAAUCAGCCAGGAUUACUGAAAUGCAGUGCCUCAGAAAUAGAGGUCACUUCCAUUUUCAUGGAUAUACCACAGCACAUCCUGCACCUGCUCCUCUGCUCCCUGGCAGCAUAACUUCAUUGCAAGUGUGUUACCACAACCUCUCAUCCAGCCAAGCCCUGAGGAUCUCCCACUUCACUGCCCAGGAGUCGUGUGUGUAAACCAAUGAGAAUUGUGCAUUUGUCACCCUUCCCAUAGAGGGCAACCCUGACAAGGACUCUCAGAAGGAGGGGGAUAAUUUAGCUGGAGAAACAGGAGAAGAUCUAUUGGCUAGGAGGAAAGCCUUGUGUGUGUAUUUUGGAAAGAUCAAGGUACCAGGGAUAGAAGUACCGGGAGGUCAGUUGCAUUUUAUUUUGC